AUGAACGCUAGCUACAGGCUUAACACAUGCAAGUCGAGGGGCAGCAUGGUCUUAGCUUGCUAAGAUUGAUGGCGACCGGCGCACGGGUGAGUAACGCGUAUCCAACCUUCCCUAUAGUAGGGGAUAGCCCGUAGAAAUGCGGAUUAAUACCCUAUGUUGUAUUUCGAGGACAUCUGACGAAUACCAAAGGUUCACCGCUAUAGGAUGGGGAUGCGUCUGAUUAGGUAGUCGGCGGGUAACGGCCCACCGAGCCAACGAUCAGUAGGGGUCUGAGAGGAAGGUCCCCCACAUUGGAACUGAGACACGGUCCAAACUCCUACGGGAGGCAGCAGUGAGGAAUAUUGGUCAAUGGGCGAGAGCCUGAACCAGCCAAGUAGCGUGCAGGAUGACGGCCCUAUGGGUUGUAAACUGCUUUUAUGCGGGGAUAAAGUGAGGGACGUGUCCCUUAUUGUAGGUACCGCAUGAAUAAGGACCGGCUAAUUCCGUGCCAGCAGCAGC
This 498-nucleotide ribosomal RNA is filed under the name uncultured bacterium. Its description in RNAcentral is "bacterial SSU rRNA". It matches the Rfam family "Bacterial small subunit ribosomal RNA", at positions 29 to 518 of the family's 1533-position model. The record is from RNAcentral.